RNAcentral lists this long non-coding RNA (530 nucleotides) under Carica papaya (papaya). RNAcentral describes it as "long non-coding RNA (CPAP_LNC004775)". Lineage: Eukaryota; Viridiplantae; Streptophyta; Magnoliopsida; Brassicales; Caricaceae. The record is from RNAcentral.
GAGGAUUCUCUAGCGCAGGAGCUACAGCAGUCGCAAGCAUGGUUUGUUGACAGGAUGAACUCGUAAGUACAAUAACAGUUUCAUGUAGGGUUUACUAACAGGGAACAGGUAAAGAUGAUGGUGCCAUUCACAAAUAAAAACAACCAAAAUAAUGGACUGAUAUGGUCAAGCAGGUUUAAUUACCCUUAGAAAUUGAGUAUUAAAAUGUUUAGUUUUUAAUUUUUUUGAUGUUGUCAGAGAUGUACGUUAAAUAACCAAGUACAAUCCACCAUAUAGAUAGGUUGUCAGACUCAUAGUCAUUGUCUUGAUAGUUUUAAUCAUAAUAAUAGUUGUAGUUAUGUCAUCACAGUUGUUCGGUCAUGUUCAUGGCACUCUGACGCGUGCUGGUGCACUUUUACGCAUAGGGUCUGUGUGUGGAGUGCCACUACACUUCAAGCAGCUGCACAUUGUAGCAAGCCUUGCGCAUCGUGUUGACCUAUCAAGCUUCUACGGAUGUUGAGGGGUAUAAUUCAAAAGAAUAAAUCUAAUAA